UUCCGGUUGAUCCUGCCGGACCUGACUGCUAUCGGAUUGAUACUAAGCCAUGCGAGUCUUUGUAGUAAUACAAGGCAUACGGCUCAGUAACGCGUAGUCAACCUACCCUAUGGACAAGAAUAAUCUCGGGAAACUGAGCAUAAUUCCUGGUAGAUCAUAAUGCCUGGAAUGGUUUAUGGUUAAAAUGAUUCGUCGCCAUAGGAUGGGACUGCGGCCUAUCAGCUUGUUGGUGAGGUAAUGGCCCACCAAGGCGAUUACAGGUACGGGCUCUGAGAGGAGAAGCCCGGAGAUGGGUACUGAGACAAGGACCCAGGCCCUAUGGGGCGCAGCAGGCGAAAAACUUUGCAAUGUGCGAAAGCCGCCAAGGUUAGUCCGAGUGAUUUCUGCUAAAGAGUUCUUUUGCUAGUUAUAAACCCACUAGUGAAUAAGGGGUGGGCAAGUUCUGGUGUCAGCCGCCGCGGUAAAACCAGCACCUCAAGUGGUCAGGAUGAUUAUUGGGCCUAAAGCAUCCGUAGCCGGCUCUGUAAGUUUCGGUUAAAUCUAUGCGCUCAACGUAUGGGCUGCCGAAAAUACUGCAGAGAUAGGGAGUGGGAGAGGUAGACGGUACUCGGUAGGAAGGGGUAAAAUCCUUUGAUCUAUCGAUGACCACCUGUGGCGAAGGCGGUCCACCAGAACACGUUCGACGGUGAGGGAUGAAAGCUGGGGGAGCAAACCGGAUUAGAUACCCGGGUAGUCCCAGCUGUAAACGAUGCAGACUCGAUGAUGCAUUGGCAUAUAGCCAGUGCAGUGUCGCAGGGAAGCCGUUAAGUCUGCCGCCUGGGAAGUACGUACGCAAGUAUGAAACUAAAGGAAUUGGGGGGCCCCCACAAGGGGUGAAGCCUGCGGUUAAUUGGAUUCAACGCCGGG
Molecule: ribosomal RNA, 906 nt
Filed under: uncultured crenarchaeote ODPB-A3
Lineage: Archaea; Thermoproteati; Thermoproteota
Description: bacterial SSU rRNA
Rfam family: Archaeal small subunit ribosomal RNA
Source: RNAcentral